GACGAACGCUGGCGGCGUGCCUAAUACAUGCAAGUUGAGCGCUGAAGGUUGGUACUUGUACCAACUGGAUGAGCAGCGAACGGGUGAGUAACGCGUGGGGAAUCUGCCUUUGGGCGGGGGACAACAUUUGGAAACGAAUGCUAAUACCGCAUAAAAACUUUAAACACAAGUUUUAAGUUUGAAAGAUGCAAUUGCAUCACUCAAAGAUGAUCCCGCGUUGUAUUAGCUAGUUGGUGAGGUAAAGGCUCACCAAGGCGAUGAUACAUAGCCGACCUGAGAGGGUGAUCGGCCACAUUGGGACUGAGACACGGCCCAAACUCCUACGGGAGGCAGCAGUAGGGAAUCUUCGGCAAUGGACGAAAGUCUGACCGAGCAACGCCGCGUGAGUGAAGAAGGUUUUCGGAUCGUAAAACUCUGUUGGUAGAGAAGAACGUUGGUGAGAGUGGAAAGCUCAUCAAGUGACGGUAACUACCCAGAAAGGGACGGCUACUACGUG
RNAcentral lists this ribosomal RNA (496 nucleotides) under uncultured bacterium. Its description in RNAcentral is "partial 16S ribosomal RNA". It matches the Rfam family "Bacterial small subunit ribosomal RNA", at positions 28 to 507 of the family's 1533-position model. The record is from RNAcentral.